Molecule: ribosomal RNA, 712 nt
Filed under: uncultured Bacteroidales bacterium
Lineage: Bacteria; Pseudomonadati; Bacteroidota; Bacteroidia; Bacteroidales
Description: bacterial SSU rRNA
Rfam family: Bacterial small subunit ribosomal RNA
Source: RNAcentral
UCGAGGGGCAGCAUAAUGGAUAGCAAUAUCUAUGGUGGCGACCGGCGCACGGGUGCGUAACGCGUAUGCAACCUACCUUUAACAGGGGGAUAACACUGAGAAAUUGGUACUAAUACCCCAUAAUAUCAUAGAAGGCAUCUUUUAUGGUUGAAAAUUCCGAUGGUUAGAGAUGGGCAUGCGUUGUAUUAGCUAGUUGGUGGGGUAACGGCUCACCAAGGCGACGAUACAUAGGGGGACUGAGAGGUUAACCCCCCACACUGGUACUGAGACACGGACCAGACUCCUACGGGAGGCAGCAGUGAGGAAUAUUGGUCAAUGGACGCAAGUCUGAACCAGCCAUGCCGCGUGCAGGAUGACGGCUCUAUGAGUUGUAAACUGCUUUUGUACGAGGGUAAACGCAGAUACGUGUAUCUGUCUGAAAGUAUCGUACGAAUAAGGAUCGGCUAACUCCGUGCCAGCAGCCGCGGUAAUACGGAGGAUUCAAGCGUUAUCCGGAUUUAUUGGGUUUAAAGGGUGCGUAGGCGGUUUGAUAAGUUAGAGGUGAAAUUUCGGGGCUCAACCCUGAACGUGCCUCUAAUACUGUUGAGCUAGAGAGUAGUUGCGGUAGGCGGAAUGUAUGGUGUAGCGGUGAAAUGCUUAGAGAUCAUACAGAACACCGAUUGCGAAGGCAGCUUACCAAACUAUAUCUGACGUUGAGGCACGAAAGCGUGGG